RNAcentral lists this ribosomal RNA (472 nucleotides) under uncultured organism. RNAcentral describes it as "partial 16S ribosomal RNA". It matches the Rfam family "Bacterial small subunit ribosomal RNA", at positions 334 to 797 of the family's 1533-position model. The record is from RNAcentral.
CACUCCUACGGGAGGCAGCAGUGGGGAAUUUUGGACAAUGGGCGCAAGCCUGAUCCAGCCAUGCCGCGUGCGGGAAGAAGGCCUUCGGGUUGUAAACCGCUUUUGUCAGGGAAGCAAAGGUUCUGGCUAAUACCUGGGACUCAUGACGGUACCUGAAGAAUAAGCACCGGCUAACUACGUGCCCGCAGCCGCGGUACUACGUAGGGUGCAAGCGUUAAUCGGAAUUACUGGGCGUAAAGCGUGCGCAGGCGGUUAUGCAAGACAGAGGUGAAAUCCCCGGGCUCAACCUGGGAACUGCCUUUGUGACUGCAUGGCUAGAGUACGGUAGAGGGGGAUGGAAUGCAGCGUGUAGCAGUGAAAUGCGUAGAUAUGCGGAGGAACACCGAUGGCGAAGGCAAUCCCCUGGACCUGUACUGACGCUCAUGCACGAAAGCGUGGGGAGCAAACAGGAUUAGAUACCCCGGUAGUCCCA